GAUGGAUUGUCGACGCAACGACGGUAUGAAAAUCGAAAGCACAACGCCAAACGGCAUCAGCACGCCAUCCAAUUGGCAGCACACACAGCUCAAAGGCAAUGCACGUCGCCCAAGCUUGCCACAAUUACAGAAUGAGGCCUAUCGCGUGUGCAAGCUUGAGCACAAGGCGCAUGAUGUGAUGUGCAUAAACUGCGCGCCUCACUCCCGCAGAUGUGACGUGCACGUAGGUGCACUUCCCAUGUUGGCUGAGUGCCGGCGUGUGUGUGUGUGCGGCUCAUGGGGGUUAUGCGAAUAAGGGAAAACUUUCUCAUGGCCCUUUUUGCAAGAUUUUUUCACCGUUACCUUUUUU
This 349-nucleotide long non-coding RNA is filed under the name Carica papaya (papaya). Its description in RNAcentral is "long non-coding RNA (CPAP_LNC004542)". Lineage: Eukaryota; Viridiplantae; Streptophyta; Magnoliopsida; Brassicales; Caricaceae. The record is from RNAcentral.